UACAGAGGGUGCGAGCGUUAAUCGGAAUUACUGGGCGUAAAGCGUGCGUAGACGGUUAUGUAAGUCAGGUGUGAAAGCCCCGGGCUCAACCUGGGAAUUGCAUUUGAGACUGCAUAGCUAGGGUGCGGAAGAGGGAAGCGGAAUUUCCGGUGUAGCGGUGGAAUGCGCAGAUAUCAGGAGGAACACCGGUGGCGAAGGCGGGAUCCUGGGCCAGUACUGACGCUGAGGAGCGAAAGCGUGGGGAGCAAACAGG
This 253-nucleotide ribosomal RNA is filed under the name uncultured bacterium. RNAcentral describes it as "partial 16S ribosomal RNA". It matches the Rfam family "Bacterial small subunit ribosomal RNA", at positions 524 to 776 of the family's 1533-position model. The record is from RNAcentral.